GAGUACGGCCGCAAGGCUGAAACUUAAAGGAAUUGGCGGGGGAGCACUACAACGGGUGGAGCCUGCGGUUUAAUUGGACUCAACGCCGGAAAACUCACCGGGGGCGACAGCAAUAUGUAGGUCGGGUUAAAGGUCUUACCUGAAUCGCUGAGAGGAGGUGCAUGGCCGUCGUCAGUUCGUACUGUGAAGCAUCCUGUUAAGUCAGGCAACGAGCAAGACCCGUGCCCACUGUUACCAGCAUAUCCUUUAUGGAUGAUGGGGACUCUGUGGGGACCGCUGCUGCUAAAGCAGAGGAAGGUGCGGGCUACGGUAGGUCAGUAUGCCCCGAAUCUCCCGGGCUACACGCGGGCUACAAUGGUUGGGACAAUGGGUAUCUACUCCGAAAGGAGUUGGCAAUCUCUUAAACCCAAUCGUAGUUCGAAUUGAGGGCUGUAACUCGCCCUCAUGAAGCUGGAAUCCGUAGUAAUCGCGUUUCAACAUAGCGCGGUGAAUCUGUCCCUGCUCCUUGCACACACCGCCCGUCAAACCAUCCGAGUGAGGUAUGGGUGAGGGCACGAACUUAGUGUCGUGCUCGAACCUAAAUUUCGCAAGGAGGGUUAAGUCGUAACAAGGUAGCCGUAGGGGAAUCUGCGGCUGGAUCACCUCCU
This 647-nucleotide ribosomal RNA is filed under the name uncultured archaeon. RNAcentral's name for it is "bacterial SSU rRNA". It matches the Rfam family "Archaeal small subunit ribosomal RNA", at positions 833 to 1478 of the family's 1478-position model. The record is from RNAcentral.